Molecule: ribosomal RNA, 901 nt
Filed under: uncultured marine bacterium
Lineage: Bacteria
Description: bacterial SSU rRNA
Rfam family: Bacterial small subunit ribosomal RNA
Source: RNAcentral
AGAGUUUGAUCCUGGCUCAGGACGAACGCUGGCGGCGUGCUUAACACAUGCAAGUCGAACGAGGUCCAUCCGAUCUUCGGAUUGGUGAAGACCUAGUGGCGAACGGGUGCGUAACACGUGAGAAACCUGCCCCGGUCUCUGGGAUAACAGUUGGAAACGACUGCUAAUACCGGAUGCCGUCGGACCGUCGCAUGGCGGACCGACGAAAGGGUUACCGGACCGGGAGGGUCUCGCGGCCUAUCAGCUAGUUGGUGAGGUAACGGCUCACCAAGGCAUCGACGGGUAGCUGGUCUGAGAGGAUGAUCAGCCACACUGGGACUGAGACACGGCCCAGACUCCUACGGGAGGCAGCAGUGGGGAAUAUUGCACAAUGGGCGAAAGCCUGAUGCAGCAACGCCGCGUGCGGGAUGAAGGCCCUAGGGUUGUAAACCGCUUUCAGCAGGGAAGAAAAUGACGGUACCUGUAGAAGAAGGUGCGGCCAACUACGUGCCAGCAGCCGCGGUGACACGUAGGCACCAAGCGUUGUCCGGAUUUAUUGGGCGUAAAGAGCUCGUAGGCGGUUCAGUAAGUCGGGUGUGAAAACUCUGGGCUCAACCCAGAGACGCCACCCGAUACUGCUGUGACUAGAGUGCGGUAGGGGAGCGGGGAAUUCCUAGUGUAGCGGUGAAAUGCGCAGAUAUUAGGAGGAACACCAGUGGCGAAGGCGCCGCUCUGGGCCGUAACUGACGCUGAGGAGCGAAAGCGUGGGUAGCAAACAGGAUUAGAUACCCUGGUAGUCCACGCCGUAAACGUUGGGCACUAGGUGUGGGUCUCAACCAACGAGAUCCGCGCCGUCGCUAACGCAUUAAGUGCCCCGCCUGGGGAGUACGGUCGCAAGGCUAAAACUCAAAGGAAUUGACGG